AUGUCAGCUGCUUUCAAACAUGUUGGUGUGGACCGGAACACGGUAGUGGUCAAUGCUCCAAUCGCAGAGCUUUACAUAGCUGCACCUGACAAGUAUAAGGAACUCCUUAAAAACCACAGCAGUCAGGUUAAACUUAGUGCAUUUGCCACACAGUGUGCUGCUGUAAUUCAGGAGGAUCCAGCUGUAGAAGAUACUAUCAAAGCCUUUAAGGCUUCCGAACGGUUCCUCUCCUCAAAGAAACAACCACAGUGCUGUGUAACAAAAGCUGUUAGUGGUCAGUCUUUGACCUCCUCAGAUUAUGUGGUGAAAAAGCCUGGAGACUCAGUGACUCUGUCCUGCACUGUGUCUGGAUUCUCAAUGAGCAGCUACUGGAUGCACUGGAUCCGUCAGAAACCAGGGAAAGCACUGGAGUGGAUUGGGCGAAGACAUGGCUCAAGUGCAUAUUAUGAUCAGUCUCUACAGGGCCAGUUCUCCAUCACCAAAGACACCAGCAAAAACAUGCUGUAUUUAGAGGUGAAAAGCCUGAAGACUGAAGACACAGCUGUUUAUUACUGUGCUAGAGACUCACAGUUACACAAAAGACUGCAGGACUGAACAAAAACUAUUCAUGCAUCAGAUCACUGAAGCAAC
Molecule: non-coding RNA, 630 nt
Organism: Onychostoma macrolepis
Lineage: Eukaryota; Metazoa; Chordata; Actinopteri; Cypriniformes; Cyprinidae
Source: the annotation of a RefSeq genome assembly